GUCACGGUUGGUUAUCUGCUCUAUAAAAGUAUACGUUGAUAUCGUAACGAUAUCAUCGGCUACAGAAUGAGGUUCCUGGUGCUACUUUCUGUGCUCUUUGCGCUCAUAUGUGCGGCAAUGGGUAAGUUAGACGAUCGGAAAAAAGCUGACUUCACAGCGAAGUAUGCCGAACUUGCUUCUCCAGUCCCAGCGCAUGUGAACGUGGAAGAAUUGAUUUCUUCACUUCGAGCAGCCAGUAACUUACACUAACAACAAUUAAACAUCAUUCAACUCAUCUUCAAUGACCUUACUAUGA
Molecule: long non-coding RNA, 295 nt
Organism: Vanessa atalanta (red admiral)
Lineage: Eukaryota; Metazoa; Arthropoda; Insecta; Lepidoptera; Nymphalidae
Exons: 2
Source: RefSeq, a predicted model, not a curated record